RNAcentral lists this non-coding RNA (228 nucleotides) under Enterococcus canis. RNAcentral describes it as "T-box sequence". It matches the Rfam family "T-box leader". Rfam says of the family: Uncharged tRNA acts as the effector for transcription antitermination of genes in the T-box leader family. T-boxes are found upstream of many aminoacyl-tRNA synthetase genes and some amino acid biosynthetic genes usually in Gram-positive bacteria. The anticodon of a specific tRNA base pairs to a specifier sequence within the T-box motif, and the NCCA acceptor tail of the tRNA base pairs to a conserved bulge in the T-box antiterminator hairpin. Lineage: Bacteria; Bacillati; Bacillota; Bacilli; Lactobacillales; Enterococcaceae. The record is from RNAcentral.
UCAAAAACAAAGACCGGAACAAGUAGGACAGAUCCCCUUCUUUAAGAGAGCUCUUGGUAGCUGUGAAAGAGCAGAAGCAUUUGUCAGAACACAUCCGUGAGUUGCGUUUCUGAAUCCAGUAGGAAAAACCGGCGGCCCGUUAUCCCUCUAGUCAUAGACUAAUGGAGUGUGCUUUUGUGAAAAAGUACAGUAUUGAGGUGGGACCGCGAGUUGUUACUUGCCCUCUUG